ACACGACUACAUUAGAUACCCCUGUAGUCCUGGCCGUAAACGAUACUCGCUAGGUGUCGGCCACGGUGCGACCGUUGUCGGUGCCGUAGGGAAGCCGUGAAGCGAGCCACCUGGGAAGUACGGCCGCAAGGCUGAAACUUAAAGGAAUUGGCGGGGGAGCACAACAACGGGUGGAGCUUGCGGUUUAAUUGGAUUCAACGCCGGAAAUCUUACCGGGACCGACAGCAACAUGAAGGCCAAGCUGAAGACUUUGCCGGAUUAGCUG
RNAcentral lists this ribosomal RNA (265 nucleotides) under uncultured archaeon. Its description in RNAcentral is "partial 16S ribosomal RNA". It matches the Rfam family "Archaeal small subunit ribosomal RNA", at positions 717 to 982 of the family's 1478-position model. The record is from RNAcentral.